This 253-nucleotide ribosomal RNA is filed under the name uncultured bacterium. Its description in RNAcentral is "partial 16S ribosomal RNA". It matches the Rfam family "Bacterial small subunit ribosomal RNA", at positions 524 to 776 of the family's 1533-position model. The record is from RNAcentral.
UACGUAGGGUGCGAGCGUUGUCCGGAAUUAUUGGGCGUAAAGGGCUCGUAGGCGGUUUGUCGCGUCGGGAGUGAAAUCCACUGGCUUAACUGGUGGCUUGCUUUCGAUACGGGCAGACUGGAGGUAUGCAGGGGAGACUGGAAUUCCUGGUGUAGCGGUGAAAUGCGCAGAUAUCAGGAGGAACACCGGUGGCGAAGGCGGGUCUCUGGGCAAUAACUGACGCUGAGGAGCGAAAGCGUGGGGAGCGAACAGG